GGUUAAGCGACUAAGCGUACACGGUGGAUGCCCUGGCAGUCAGAGGCGAUGAAGGACGUGCUAAUCUGCGAAAAGCGCCGGCGAGGUGAUAUGAACCCUUGACCCGGCGAUGUCCGAAUGGGGAAACCCAGUGUGUUCCGACACACUAUCGUUAACUGAAUACAUAGGUUAACGAGGCGAACCGGGGGAACUGAAACAUCUAAGUACCCCGAGGAAAAGAAAUCAACCGAGAUUCCCCCAGUAGCGGCGAGCGAACGGGGAGCAGCCCGGAGUCUGAAUCAGCUUGUGUGUUAGUGGAACGGUCUGGAAAGUCCGACGGUACAGGGUGAUAGUCCCGUACACGAAAAUGCACAGGUUGUGAACUCGAAGAGUAGGGCGGGACACGUGGUAUCCUGUCUGAAUAUGGGGGGACCAUCCUCCAAGGCUAAAUACUCCUGACUGACCGAUAGUGAACCAGUACCGUGAGGGAAAGGCGAAAAGAACCCCGGCGAGGGGAGUGAAAAAGAACCUGAAACCGUGUACGUACAAGCAGUGGGAGCACCUUCGGGUGUGACUGCGUACCUUUUGUAUAAUGGGUCAGCGACUUAUAUUCUGUAGCAAGGUUAACCGUAUAGGGGAGCCGAAGGGAAACCGAGUCUUAACUGGGCGUUAAGUUGCAGGGUAUAGACCCGAAACCCGGUGAUCUAGCCAUGGGCAGGUUGAAGGUUGGGUAACACUAACUGGAGGACCGAACCGACUAAUGUUGAAAAAUUAGCGGAUGACCUGUGGCUGGGGGUGAAAGGCCAAUCAAACCGGGAGAUAGCUGGUUCUCCCCGAAAGCUAUUUAGGUAGCGCCUCGUGAACUCAUCUUCGGGGGUAGAGCACUGUUUCGGCUAGGGGGCCAUCCCGGCUUACCAACCCGAUGCAAACUACGAAUACCGAAGAAUGUUAUCACGGGAGACACACGGCGGGUGCUAACGUCCGUCGUGAAGAGGGAAACAACCCAGACCGCCAGCUAAGGUCCCAAAGUCAUGGUUAAGUGGGAAACGAUGUGGGAAGGCACAGACAGCCAGGAUGUUGGCUUAGAAGCAGCCAUCAUUUAAAGAAAGCGUAAUAGCUCACUGGUCGAGUCGGCCUGCGCGGAAGAUGUAACGGGGCUAAACCAUGCACCGAAGCUGCGGCAGCGACACUAUGUGUUGUUGGGUAGGGGAGCGUUCUGUAAGCCGUUGAAGGUGUGCUGUGAGGCAUGCUGGAGGUAUCAGAAGUGCGAAUGCUGACAUAAGUAACGAUAAAGCGGGUGAAAAGCCCGCUCGCCGGAAGACCAAGGGUUCCUGUCCAACGUUAAUCGGGGCAGGGUGAGUCGACCCCUAAGGCGAGGCCGAAAGGCGUAGUCGAUGGGAAACAGGUUAAUAUUCCUGUACUUGGUGUUACUGCGAAGGGGGGACGGAGAAGGCUAUGUCAGCCGGGCGACGGUUGUCCCGGUUUAAGCAUGUAGGCGGAGGUUCCAGGUAAAUCCGGUACCUUGUUAACGCUGAGGUGUGAUGACGAGGCACUACGGUGCUGAAGUGAUAAAUGCCCUGCUUCCAGGAAAAGCCUCUAAGCAUCAGGUAACACGAAAUCGUACCCCAAACCGACACAGGUGGUCAGGUAGAGAAUACCAAGGCGCUUGAGAGAACUCGGGUGAAGGAACUAGGCAAAAUGGUGCCGUAACUUCGGGAGAAGGCACGCUGAUAGGUAGGUGAAGCCCCUGCGGGCGGAGCUGAAAUCAGUCGAAGAUACCAGCUGGCUGCAACUGUUUAUUAAAAACACAGCACUGUGCAAACACGAAAGUGGACGUAUACGGUGUGACGCCUGCCCGGUGCCGGAAGGUUAAUUGAUGGGGUUAGCGGCAACGCGAAGCUCUUGAUCGAAGCCCCGGUAAACGGCGGCCGUAACUAUAACGGUCCUAAGGUAGCGAAAUUCCUUGUCGGGUAAGUUCCGACCUGCACGAAUGGCGUAAUGAUGGCCAGGCUGUCUCCACCCGAGACUCAGUGAAAUUGAACUCGCUGUGAAGAUGCAGUGUACCCGCGGCAAGACGGAAAGACCCCGUGAACCUUUACUAUAGCUUGACACUGAACACUGGUCCUUGAUGUGUAGGAUAGGUGGGAGGCUUUGAAGCGUGGACGCCAGUCUGCGUGGAGCCAUCCUUGAAAUACCACCCUUUAAUGGCUGGUGUUCUAACGUAGACCCGUGAUCCGGGUUGCGGACAGUGUCUGGUGGGUAGUUUGACUGGGGCGGUCUCCUCCCAAAGAGUAACGGAGGAGCACGAAGGUUGGCUAAUCCUGGUCGGACAUCAGGAGGUUAGUGCAAUGGCAUAAGCCAGCUUGACUGCGAGCGUGACGGCGCGAGCAGGUGCGAAAGCAGGUCAUAGUGAUCCGGUGGUUCUGAAUGGAAGGGCCAUCGCUCAACGGAUAAAAGGUACUCCGGGGAUAACAGGCUGAUACCGCCCAAGAGUUCAUAUCGACGGCGGUGUUUGGCACCUCGAUGUCGGCUCAUCACAUCCUGGGGCUGAAGUAGGUCCCAAGGGUAUGGCUGUUCGCCAUUUAAAGUGGUACGCGAGCUGGGUUUAGAACGUCGUGAGACAGUUCGGUCCCUAUCUGCCGUGGGCGCUGGAGAAUUGAGGGGGGCUGCUCCUAGUACGAGAGGACCGGAGUGGACGCAUCACUGGUGUUCGGGUUGUCAUGCCAAUGGCACUGCCCGGUAGCUAAAUGCGGAAGAGAUAAGUGCUGAAAGCAUCUAAGCACGAAACUUGCCCCGAGAUGAGUUCUCCCUGAGACUUUAAGUCUCCUGAAGGAACGUUGAAGACGACGACGUUGAUAGGUCGGGUGUGUAAGCGCAGCGAUGCGUUGAGCUAACCGAUACUAAUGAACCGUGAGGCUUAACCUU
Molecule: ribosomal RNA, 2904 nt
Filed under: Enterobacter hormaechei
Lineage: Bacteria; Pseudomonadati; Pseudomonadota; Gammaproteobacteria; Enterobacterales; Enterobacteriaceae
Description: 23S ribosomal RNA
Rfam family: Bacterial large subunit ribosomal RNA
Source: RNAcentral